RNA transcript from Solenopsis invicta (red fire ant), 2520 nucleotides. It is a transcript of the gene named odorant receptor 13a, with no coding region annotated. The record is from RefSeq and is a predicted model, not a curated record. Lineage: Eukaryota; Metazoa; Arthropoda; Insecta; Hymenoptera; Formicidae. The transcript has 7 exons.
CUUGGUUUGGUGCUAGUAUCAGUAAAUCUGUCAUAGCGAACGUAUCGGAUACGUUACCUGAUAUUUCUUAGUUGAAAGUUUUCUAACGAGAAAGUUCUUCUAGAAACCUGCAUACUGUGCGACAGUUUUUCCAGUUGAAAAGAUUUUUUGUCCAUGGUUGUUUGAGUUCUUCAGUGUAUGAAUAUCAUCAUGUUUGAUAAACGAUUACAAGCGUAUCGCAAGUAUCAACGCUUCAUUAAGGCUAUUCUCACUAUGACUGGCUGUUGGUACAUGCCCGCAAAAUCAGGCAAGUCCACGUACUACUGGCCAGUUUGUGUGCUUUUGAUAAUGAACGUGUACAUGAUACUCGCCUUUCAUACAGCUUAUGUCUUUAGACAUAACUUGGUAAACAUGAUGAAAAUGAUAGACGCAGCUAUAUCUUUAAUUAGCGCCAUUAUCAAGGUGACAAACUUCAUGAUACAUCGCAGAUCUCUGAAAAAUAAUCACCAGACCCUGAGUGAUUUUUUUGAGGAGGAGCUUAUGCAAAACGAAAAAAUUCGGAAGAUAACGUUUUCAUCCCUGCGUGCAACGUACACUAUGGCGUAUGCGUAUAUCAUCAUUAUUAUAUCAUUGCUUUUGGGAUAUGCUGCGCCUCCGAUUAUAUCCAUGAUCCGCGAUCUCUGUCACUUGCGUUUAACUACAAAUUACAACUUGCCGUUCGCCAGAGGAUACUCAUACUUCUGGAUUGUUCCCGAUAACUGGUCGUAUCAUCUUUAUUUUUUCUACGAAAUGAUGCAAGCCUGGUUGACUGCCAUGACGUCAGGCGCUGUCGAAAGCGUUUUUGGCUUCCACACCUAUCUAUUCGCCUCGACGGUGCGCGUCAUGAUUUUUAGACUCACGAAUCCUUUGCCUACAGACAAGUUUUCGGAUGUGUUGAAAAUGUGCAUUAAGAAACAUCAAAAGUUGCUACGAUGCCGCGAUACGUUGGAGAACGUUUUUGGACCAAUCGUCCUUUGGCAUGUUGUCUCCAAUUCCAUCCUUCUUUGCUCGUUGAUAUACGAGACUGUAAAUAUGGAAAUUCGUCUUGCCAACAUAACCACAUUUGUGAUAUACUCUUCAUUAAAGCUAGUUCAAAUGUUUAUAUAUGCACGGUACGCAAUGUUCUUACAAAUGCGAGCGAUGAUUUUCGUAAAGGAAUAUACUUUAGUGAGUGGCCUAACUCUGAUCUCGAUUGUCACGUCAAAACAAAUGUUAUUCUGAUGUUGAUGCAAAAACCGAUGACCAUAUACGCAAUUUUCUCCCCCGUCGAGAUGAUCAUGUUCACUAAUGUCAUAAACACUACAAUGUCCUAUUUCUUUCUGUUGCGCUCUAAAGGCGGAUAAAAAUGGAUCAUGUAUAUGACUCGUAGAUACUGGCAAACACGAUGUUGCGUUAUUGUCAGAAUAUAAUUUAGAAAGUACAAUCAAAGCUUUAUUAACUUUUUAUUAUUACACUAUUGAUAUUUAAAAUGUUUAAACUAUUUCUAUUAAAAUAUAUAAAUAAUUGUCGGAUUAUUUUCCAUCUAGACGUUUGUUAACACAGUUAUGUUCACCAAUCUCGUGAAUACUACAAUAGUCUAUUCUUCUUGUUGCAAUUUGUCGGUGACAAAGUGAGAUAAUGGACCGUAUGUAUGUUUUAUAAACACUAAUAAGUAUGUAAAAUUAUUGUAUUAUUAUAAAAAAAUCAAUGCACCAUUAAUAUCUUUUAUUGUUACACUGUUAACGGUUAAUUUAUAAACAAUUAUAAACAAUAACUUUACUUGUUAUUGCGUUUUUCUUUUAUUUACUUAAAAAAAAAAUCGUUGUUUAAGCUAAUAAUUACAUAGCAUAACUUUUUUUAGCACGUAAGUGUAUAUAAAGUUGGAAAAUGAACAGUUCUGCAUGUUCACGUGUGGUAAUGAGGUUUUCAAGUUACAUUGACCUACUGCGUAGAGAAAAUAUGUCGAUAUCACAGAUAUACUAUCGAGAAAAGUUUUAAGUAAAUGAAUGAAACUUUCUUUCAUCUAAAAUCUAAACGUUUGCAUAUACCCUCAGGCUAUCAAACCUUCAUCAAUACUGUAACGCUUGCGUGAUAUAGCUAUCUAACGGCGAUAUUGCAAUAUCACCGACAAUGCUUUGAUUGACUAUAUAAAGUUCUCUUACUUAUCUUAUAAAUAAAAGGAAUUGUAAAUCUGUCUACGUCAGUUAAAUAGGAAAAAAUAUUACUAGUUCUGAUGAUAUAUCUGAUGCAACUCGAAAUCUAUAGCUUCGACGUCUUACCAUUCUGUUUGAAGUGCAAUUUUUCCUAUGCCUAUAGUUUGUCUACAGUAGUGAUUUUAAUAGCAAAUUCAGUUCGACGCACUAGUGCGCACUAGGGUGCACAUUAAAAACGCCGUACACUAAUCGACGAAAGAUAUGUAUUUAACAUAAAUGUAUUAAUGCUUAAAUAUAUAAUGCUUAAAUUAUUGUAAAAGAAAUGAUACAUUCUGUGUAACAAUCAGCUAUAAAUGUUAAAUUAUAAUUA